RNAcentral lists this ribosomal RNA (421 nucleotides) under uncultured eukaryote. RNAcentral describes it as "SSU rRNA". It matches the Rfam family "Eukaryotic small subunit ribosomal RNA", at positions 592 to 1013 of the family's 1831-position model. The record is from RNAcentral.
CAAUAGCGUAUAUUAAUGUUGUUGCAGUUAAAAAGCUCGUAGUUGGAUUUCUGCUUGGAGCGACCGGUCCGCCUCGCAAGAGGUGCGCACUAGUGUCGCGUCCGGGCAUCCUUGUAGAGAGCGUUCCUGGCAUUAAGUUGUCGGGUUCGGGAUCUGCAUCGUUUACUGUGAAAAAAUUAGAGUGUUUAAAGCAGGCAUUUGCUGUGAAUACAUUAGCAUGGAAUAAUAAGAUAGGACUUUGGUGCUAUUUUGUUGGUUUGCACACCAAGGUAAUGAUUAACAGGGACAGUUGGGGGUAUUCAUAUUUAAUUGUCAGAGGUGAAAUUCUUGGAUUUAUGAAAGAUGAACCUAUGCGAAAGCAUUUACCAAGGAUGUUUUCAUUAAUCAAGAACGAAAGUUAGGGGAUCGAAGACGAUCAGAU